GUCGUCCUACGGGACGCAGCAGUGGGGAAUAUUGGGCAAUGGGCGCAAGCCUGACCCAGCAACGCCGCGUGAAGGAAGAAGGCUUUCGGGUUGUAAACUUCUUUUCUGGGGGACGAACAAAUGACGGUACCCCAGGAAUAAGCCACGGCUAACUACGUGCCAGCAGCCGCGGUAAUACGUAGGUGGCAAGCGUUAUCCGGAUUUAUUGGGUGUAAAGGGCGCGUAGGCGGGAAUGCAAGUCAGAUGUGAAAACUCAGGGCUCAACCCUGAGUCUGCAUUUGAAACUGUGUUUCUUGAGUGCUGGG
This 305-nucleotide ribosomal RNA is filed under the name uncultured bacterium. Its description in RNAcentral is "bacterial SSU rRNA". It matches the Rfam family "Bacterial small subunit ribosomal RNA", at positions 333 to 653 of the family's 1533-position model. The record is from RNAcentral.